This 18-nucleotide small nuclear RNA is filed under the name Arabidopsis thaliana (thale cress). Its description in RNAcentral is "snRNA_01390". The record is from RNAcentral. Lineage: Eukaryota; Viridiplantae; Streptophyta; Magnoliopsida; Brassicales; Brassicaceae.
GUUCAAUCAUCUCCCCUG